ACCAAUGUGACUGAUAAAAGUAAUAAACUGUAAAUUUAUUUAUGAAAAUUGUUUUCUUUUGGUA
Molecule: transfer RNA, 64 nt
Filed under: Ectemnonotum fruhstorferi
Lineage: Eukaryota; Metazoa; Arthropoda; Insecta; Hemiptera; Cercopidae
Description: tRNA-Tyr
Source: RNAcentral